Molecule: ribosomal RNA, 465 nt
Filed under: Vreelandella stevensii
Lineage: Bacteria; Pseudomonadati; Pseudomonadota; Gammaproteobacteria; Oceanospirillales; Halomonadaceae
Description: partial 16S ribosomal RNA
Rfam family: Bacterial small subunit ribosomal RNA
Source: RNAcentral
CCUACGGGUGGCAGCAGUGGGGAAUAUUGGACAAUGGGGGGAACCCUGAUCCAGCCAUGCCGCGUGUGUGAAGAAGGCCCUCGGGUUGUAAAGCACUUUCAGUGAGGAAGAACGCCUGGUGGUUAAUACCCAUCAGGAAAGACAUCACUCACAGAAGAAGCACCGGCUAACUCCGUGCCAGCAGCCGCGGUAAUACGGAGGGUGCGAGCGUUAAUCGGAAUUACUGGGCGUAAAGCGCGCGUAGGUGGCUUGAUAAGCCGGUUGUGAAAGCCCCGGGCUCAACCUGGGAACGGCAUCCGGAACUGUCAAGCUAGAGUGCAGGAGAGGAAGGUAGAAUUCCCGGUGUAGAGGUGAAAUGCGUAGAGAUCGGGAGGAAUACCAGUGGCGAAGGCGGCCUUCUGGACUGACACUGACACUGAGGUGCGAAAGCGUGGGUAGCAAACAGGAUUAGAUACCCUGGUAGUC